RNAcentral lists this ribosomal RNA (1759 nucleotides) under Triticum aestivum (bread wheat). RNAcentral describes it as "partial small subunit ribosomal RNA". Lineage: Eukaryota; Viridiplantae; Streptophyta; Magnoliopsida; Poales; Poaceae. The record is from RNAcentral.
AAAGUAUUCUACCGUCCCUCCUUUUUUCUCUCUCUCCCCACGAUGGAAAGUAUUCCAUCCGUCCAUCUCUCUCUCCCCAUGGAAAACCAAAUAUCUAGCCCACGGUCCCUUCCUCUCCACUCUUUCCUCUCACGAAUCUCUCUACCCUAGAAACCAAACUAAUGCAAAGCAAGCGCGGCCAUGGAUCUGAACAACAAGCGGGGCCAUAAAUCUGGCGUGGUCAAGAGGCUUACUGCCUCAAAUUUGCUUUCCUGAUCUAGAUCAGGUUGUUCUCAGAUUCCUCCUAAUCACGAUUUGGAUCAAACCCUCAAUCUUUUAAAGUACAAUUUCUGGAUGCCUUACGGAGAUCGGAUCGGAGCACAACUAUGACCAUCAGGUUUCCCCGGCCACAUAUCUCCGUCGCACAAGAGAUGUUGGAGAAGCGGGAGUAACCCAUCGCCUGUAGCUCAGUACGCGUGGCAUUCAAGAAGCUGCUUCGAUCGCAGACUACAUGAUCAGAUCCAUGUCGUAGCAUAUAUAUACACCAUGUACGUCAUGGAUGCAUGCAUAAAAGCGAGCUAGGAUGUCAGACAGAUGGGGUGAAACAUAAAUUGAUUUGCAAACAGGGGAAAGAGAGACCAAAGUAAAGAUUUCACAGCUCCUAUGGAGAUGAGAUUCUCAUUCGGAUGGAGCUCUACAAACAGCUGGUACAUGACAAUGUUUGUGUGCUGGAAUGAGAAACUGACACACUGCCAAAGGUACGGUCUCUGAUGUUAUAGAAGCUAUGAUUUGUGAUGCUAAUCUUGCAUGUUCAGAACUGCUACGAUCGAAUUUGCUCAAAUUAUUCUUUGGUGUAUUAAUAACAUGCCCUUUUGUAGUUUGUAUUUGCUGACAUAUAUAAAUUUUCAUUUCGGGCAUUCGUUACAAUACUUCAAUUAUGUGUUCUUGAGCGAGGAUUAAUACAUUAAUACUGAGGGAGCCCUCUAUCCGGUGAUUUUGUCGUAGACCUCUGCUUUAAUACUUCUUAAUAUGGUGAUGAAAUUCCGAAGAACAAUUCUUAUGCGUAUGGUAUCACCUGAUCGAUCUAUCUGGUAAUAGUCGCGGGUUGGCUGGCCAGCGUUGACACCAACCAGAGGAUGCAUUGGCGCACAAUGUUCUUAUUGCUACACUUCAUGAGUGCAGUAAUGUGGUUAGGUCUAUCAGAGAAGUGCCCAGUUCAUGCCGAUGAGCGAUGAUUGUCAAUGGAGCUUACAUGUGGUUGCGGAAGCAUAAAAAGCAUGGUGAUAAGAAAGGAUUGAUCAGCGUAAGUUUGUACUGUCUGGCACGUUUGUGCAAGAAGCAAGUAAUUGCUACAGUACCAUUUAGGUUGCUCUGGGAGGACUUCUUCGCGCUACAAGGAUUAAAGCACCUUUGAUUCAUGAGGACGCACCAAACGAGGCUGGCUAGACUAAGCUUGCUACUAGAUCUACCGGACAGAAGAACAGAACACAUGCCCGCGAUUGCCCAAGUCCGGAAGGGACAAGGCCGCUAAGUAAUACUCCUUCCAUCCCAAAAUAAGUGACUCAACUUUGUACCAGCUUUAGUAUAAAGUUAGUACAAAGUUGAGUCACUUAUUUUGAGACGGAGGGAGUAUAUAUCCCAGUUAGCAUCAACAAUUAAUUUCCUGUGCUUCCUGAUGUUAUUUAGUAACUGGACUUAGGAAUGUGAGAAACGUCAUUGUGUGAUAUGACUUGCUGGAGCAAGAUUAAAUUGCUGGACCAAGGUCUACAUCUAUAUUCCC